Molecule: long non-coding RNA, 1454 nt
Filed under: Homo sapiens (human)
Lineage: Eukaryota; Metazoa; Chordata; Mammalia; Primates; Hominidae
Description: HSALNT0334652
Source: RNAcentral
GAACAUAAGCCCGAUGAGGACGCAGAGCACCAGGCAGAAGCCGAUGUCCGCAUGGUUGUGGAUGACGAACUCCUGGCUGAAGAGCGGGUCACUCCCUCUGGAGGAAACCAGCUGCCACUUUGUGAGGAUACUCAUAGUCCUGUGGAGGCAUAUCCUCCAUAUGGCUGAGACCUCCUGCGAACAACCAUCACUGACUUGCCAGACAUGAGUGUGCCACCUUGGAAGCAGAUUUUCCAGCCCCAGUUAAGCCUUCAGAUGACAUCAGCCCCUGCUAAUCUCUUGACUACAACCUCAUGAGAGACCCUGAGCCAGAACUAGCCAGGCUUACCCCUCAUGGUUACAAAGUGGCUGCAACAGCUCCAGGUGUUCUAUCCUUUAACACAGAAUAACUCAAACAACAAGACCCAAUAUUCAGACAAGAAGGAAAGGGACUUUUGGAGAGUGAAGAAAACUUUCCUAGAAACCUCAAACUUCUCCCCAUGCCUUAUUGGCCAGAUUGUAUCCCAUGCCCAUUUCUAAACCAAUCAUUGGCAAAGUGAGUGGAAUUGACGUGAUUAGAUUAACUUUACCAAGAAUGCAUCCUCAGAGAGGCUGAGAAAAAGUCCAGCCUCCUUUGAAGAGCCUGGCUACCUUUCACCUGAACAAAACAAGAAUUCUGAUGAAAAAUGGAGAAUGUAUGUGGAGCAGGCACCCGGAGUGUCUAUGCCAGGAUUUUUUUUCAGUGCGUUUCACCGGUUAUAUUUUUGUCUCUUUACCUUACAAGAUAUGUGGCACGUUUGCCUAAAACAAGCCUUGCUUUCUGAUUUCUGUGCACUAGGCACUUAAACCUUGCAAAUGUCGCUUACCUAACAGUCACUGUCAAGGAGUACCUGGCUAAAGAAUCUCCAGCUAGACAAAGUAGAAGUGUCUGUGCUCUGGCAGUUGAAUAUAUUGUAUCAGGCUCAACAGCACCUUUCACCAAAGGAUGAGACUUCACAACCAUUAGAUCUUCUUUUAUUUUGUUUUUAUUAAAAAAAAAAAUUUUAACACACCAUUGCUAACUUGAAGCCAUUAGAUCUUCUUACCCCCAAUACCACAAAAGUUUAGUGGAAUCAGGGGUAUACCAAGGCAGGUGGAGUAGGGGAGCUGGGAGUGGUCAGCCCCCAGGGCAGGCAAUGAGGGAUUGUGAAUCUGUGAAGAAUUUUAAAGCAAUGAUACAGCUCUAAAUGCAAUGUACUAUCCUGGACUUAGCCCUGGAAAAGAAAAAAGAUAUUAGUGGAAAAACUGGUAAAAUUCAAAUAAUGUCUGUAGUUUGGUUAAUAGUAUUAUACCAAUGUUAAUUUCUGUGUUUUGAUAAAUGUACCAUGGUUAUGUAAGCUGGAUGAAAGAUAUGUGGGAAAUCUCUCUACUAUUUCUGCAACUCUCCUGUAAACCUAAAAAUGUUUCAAAAUAAAAGAUUUAAUGCUAAAAUUGAC